AUUGAACGCUGGCGGCAUGCUUUACACAUGCAAGUCGAACGGUAACAGGUCUUCGGAUGCUGACGAGUGGCGAACGGGUGCGUAAUACAUCGGAACGUGCCUAGUAGUGGGGGAUAACUACUCGAAAGAGUAGCUAAUACCGCAUGAGAUCUACGGAUGAAAGCAGGGGACCUUCGGGCCUUGUGCUACUAGAGCGGCUGAUGGCAGAUUAGGUAGUUGGUGGGGUAAAGGCUUACCAAGCCUGCGAUCUGUAGCUGGUCUGAGAGGACGACCAGCCACACUGGGACUGAGACACGGCCCAGACUCCUACGGGAGGCAGCAGUGGGGAAUUUUGGACAAUGGGCGAAAGCCUGAUCCAGCAAUGCCGCGUGCAGGAUGAAGGCCCUCGGGUUGUAAACUGCUUUUGUACGGAACGAAAAGCCUGGGGCUAAUAUCCCCGGGUCAUGACGGUACCGUAAGAAUAAGCACCGGCUAACUACGUG
RNAcentral lists this ribosomal RNA (482 nucleotides) under uncultured bacterium. Its description in RNAcentral is "partial 16S ribosomal RNA". It matches the Rfam family "Bacterial small subunit ribosomal RNA", at positions 30 to 507 of the family's 1533-position model. The record is from RNAcentral.